GUCAGACGGAAAGACCCCGUGCACCUUUACUACAGCUUUGCAGUGGCCCCAGGAACCGAAUGUGUAGGAUAGGUGGGAGGCUUUGAAGCACAGUCGCUAGAUUGUGUGGAGCCGUCCUUGAAAUACCACCCUUGUAUGUUUGAUGUUCUAACAUUGUUCCCUUAUCGGGAAUGUGGACAGUGUCUGGUGGGUAGUUUGACUGGGGCGGUCUCCUCCCAAAUAGUAACGGAGGA
Molecule: ribosomal RNA, 233 nt
Filed under: Alexandrium margalefii
Lineage: Eukaryota; Dinophyceae; Gonyaulacales; Pyrocystaceae
Description: partial Bacterial large subunit ribosomal RNA
Rfam family: Bacterial large subunit ribosomal RNA
Source: RNAcentral